AACGAACGCUGGCGGCAUGCCUAACACAUGCAAGUCGAACGAGACCUUCGGGUCUAGUUGCGCACGGGUGCGUAACGCGUGGGAACCUGCCCUUAGGUUCGGAAUAACUCCCCGAAAGGGGUGCUAAUACCGGAUAAUGUCUUCGGACCAAAGAUUUAUCGCCUUUGGAUGGGCCCGCGUUGGAUUAGCUAGUUGGUAGGGUAAAAGCCUACCAAGGCGACGAUCCAUAGCUGGUCUGAGAGGAUGAUCAGCCACACUGGGACUGGGACACGGCCCAGACUCCUACGGGAGGCAGCAGUGGGGAAUAUUGGACAAUGGGCGAAAGCCUGAUCCAGCAAUGCCGCGUGAGUGAUGAAGGCCUUAGGGUUGUAAAGCUCUUUUACCCGGGAUGAUAAUGACAGUACCGGGAGAAUAAGCUCCGGCUAACUCCGUG
This 433-nucleotide ribosomal RNA is filed under the name uncultured bacterium. Its description in RNAcentral is "partial 16S ribosomal RNA". It matches the Rfam family "Bacterial small subunit ribosomal RNA", at positions 29 to 507 of the family's 1533-position model. The record is from RNAcentral.